Tympanuchus pallidicinctus (lesser prairie-chicken) is the source of this 1951-nucleotide long non-coding RNA. RefSeq lists it as uncharacterized. The record is from RefSeq and is a predicted model, not a curated record. The transcript is spliced from 2 exons. NCBI's taxonomy places the organism in Eukaryota, Metazoa, Chordata, Aves, Galliformes, Phasianidae.
UAACAAAUACAUUCCUCCUGUGCCUUCGCCUCACGUUACACAGAGGGCAUUUUAACAGUUUGAGUGAUGUUGCUUUUAUGAUGCACAAAGUCAUUUUACUGAACAGCAUGACAGAAGUUUGCUCAGGCAGGAAUUUCAUUAACUUCAGGGUCCUUGUUGCACUUAGUGGCAUUGCUCUUGGCAUGCAAGAGUAAUGGGUUCCAGGGCCUGAAAUCUCCAUUAUUUUCCAUCCAGUUUAUUUAAAAACCAUUGGGUAGAUUACAAAAGGCUGCUAAACAAUGAUUAUUUGUUGCUCUGCUCAGAAGUUUGGCAUUGCAGGGUUCCCUGAGAAUGCUUUGGGGUGCUGCAGAAGGAAAUGCUGUAGAACAGUUCCUAAUCAUCACGUUCUUUAUUUUUUUGCUCUCAUAGGUUGAAACGUGGCUGCGCCUCUCCCCCUUCUGUACUUUCAGUAGAUGGAAACUGAACUCCAAAUUGCCUUAGGCACUUGGAGUUGUGUCUUCAUGGACAAAGCAAGGAGGCUGGCUGCAGUGACGUGCAGCUUGUAAAAGCUCCCUGCUGUAGCAAUGGCACUUUCAUGCACAUGGAGCAACCCAAGGCAGCCAACAGACACCUAUUUGUGCAGCAAGCAUUAAAAAACAGACCCACCUUGGCCAGAUCUGCUCCCAGGCCACGGCCAUCUCAGCGUGUUUAUGGCUUUCACUUGUGGGCUGUUUGGGAUCAUUAAAUAAAUGUCACAGGAACUCUGGAGGUGGUAAGUAAUCAGAGCAGCCGGGAGAGCUGAAACAACUGCAAGGGCAAGAAAAAUAUUUUGCAAAGGAAACUUCACUGAACUCUUCCACAGAAGACAAAGGAGGUGAAAAGGAGCAACUUUCUGUUUCAUUUUGAAUGGAUAUUUUUCCGCUCUCAUUGCUUUCCGGAAGACAAAAAAAAAAUGUUAGCAGAGAUGCUUUCAUCAGUAGGUAAUUCUGCUUGAGAUGUCUGGCAGAUGAAGUGAGGCUUUCAUUGCUCUGUUCUCCCCUCUGGGGCUGGGAUGGGUCACUUUUUCCAACAUGAGUGCUGGGAUGGAGCUUGCUGGUGUUCCAAGGACUCUGGCAUUUGGGGUGCCCUUGAGGCCCGGCCUUUUCUGCUGGGGUUGUGCAAUGCUUUGUUCUGGCUCACAGGCAGAACUAAAAGCAGAACUUAGGGAUCUCAUUUAUUGUCAGUCUGGAACCCGUUAGAGGAACGCUGAUCGAAGGGCAAUGUUAUGAGUUGCACUCUUGCUGCUGUUGUUGUCAUAAACUCACACGUUUAUGGAGUGUGCAUGGCUCUGGGAAUUGUUUUAGUGCUGAAUGCUGUUGUUCCAGUCUUUUAACCAACUUUCCUUUAUUGAUUACUAGGCUCCUUUUAGAUUUGAAGUCCCAGCCCAUGCUAGAAGCCCAUCUCCCCACACCGCUGCCCCAUUAGUGAUAUCAAACCAGUCACUUCCAGCAGAGCACAGACCCCACGUCAGCACUCCCCAAAUCCUGCAGACCCGUCCUCCCAUCAGGCCAAUCAAGAUAUGAUUAAGAAGACACAAAACCCACAGUGAGAGGAGUAAACCACUGUGGACAAUAGCGAUACUAAUUGCCUGGCAAGCCUGUACUCAGCACUUCAAGGAUCUUUUCCAGCUGGCUAUGCCCAGCCUUAUCCUUCCCAACAAGGAGGCGAAUUUGCAACAUGGUUAUGGUGGCUGCAUCUCUCUACCCCAUGCCAACUUGCUGCAAGCUGCUCCUGUUGGAUGUCCUACAGUACCAGUGGAUUCAUGUGUGUCUAGUAAUGGGAAACCUACCCUUACAUAGACCUAUAUGUAACCUUACUCCCUUUUUGCCUUCGUGCACCUCUUCUGGCAAUGCUUAGUCCCUAUAUGAAUGCUGUGGGAGCAUCCUUGUCGUAUCUGUGGCUCCUGGUGCCCAAACCCCAUCGCAGAGCAUUA